CACUAUACCAUACAAGAAGAAGAAGAAGAUGAUGAUGAUGAUGAUGAUGAUAAUAACGACGACGGGAUUGGGCCAUGUUACAGAGUGCGAAUAGACUGCAUGACAGAGAUCGACUGACAUGAGAUUCUCAUAUCUGCCAUAUUUAAUUUCCAGAGCCUGCUGACAGUGAUCCUAUUGCUCAUCUGUACCUGUGCCUAUCUCCGAGCCAUGGCACCCAGUCUCCUGGACAAGAACAAGACCGGGCUAAAGAAAGGAAAGUGAUGGGAAGACGGAGGAAAAUAGGAAGAGUGCUGCCUGAACCAAUGUGAAUCUGUCUCCAGUAGCAGUUCUGGUGGCUAAAGCUUUUCUACACAGACAGAGAUGAGUGAUGGAGAGCGGAUAGUGUGUUCUGUUGUGGGUUUAAAACUCCAGCGCAGACCGACUCCCAGAGGAGUGCUUACGCGCAGUCUACACUCUGACCUCUAACCCCUGACCUUUGUCACAGAGCUGAUGUUGGGCUCAGUCCCAAGUCUUGGUUUCUUGUCUGGUCUUCCUCAUACAUACAUGGGCCUGGAUUUUAUUUUCCCACUGCACUUCUCUCACAUCUGUCUUUAUUUCUGAGGUCAAGAAUAAAAUUAGACAUGCGGGGGGGGGGGGGGGGGGGCUCUUCCCCUCUCCCUCCUCUAUGGCUGCUACUGAGGGGAAGGAAAUUAAUUCAACUGUCUGAUCCCCCUAAUCAUCCCCAUCAAGAUAUGGACACAUCAUUUCCAUCUGCCAGUUCAGUUCAGUUGAGGGCUAGUGGGCUAAUUAGUAGCCUCUAGCAUCACCUUACUGUACCUCAGUCACCCACUGUCAGUCCACAUGUGUGUUUACUAAACUCACGACCCCCUGAUGUCAGUUCACUGACUGUCCUCUUCCUUACAGUCUAUAUGGACUGUCUGUAUCUCUCUCUCGAUCUACUCUUUACCUAGCUAAUUAAAAUUGCUUCUUUCUUUUUUCAGCCUCUUGGGUAUCUUCUGGAAAUGUGCUAGAAUAGGUGAGAGGAAGAGUCCGUACGUGGCGGUUUGUUGUGUCGUCAUGGCCCUCUCCAUCCUCUUCUCCGACUAGCAACCCACCCUGCCCCGCACACUGGGAUUCCUAGUGGCAGAAUAAAGAAAACUGGGUCAUUCAGGAAAGCAGCAGCAGUAUAUCCACUCACAGAGGAGGCCUGUAUGGGACACAGCUGUGUUUCUCUUCGGUGGAGUGCCGCAGGGGGCACGGUUAAUGGACUGUAGUAACACAUAGGGACCCACUCUAGAGAAGAUCACAAGCCUCCUCCAUCACUCCCUCCAUCCUUCUGGUGGCCAUUUCACAGUUUAGCCUCAAUCAGUUGUUAACCAACGGCCUCCUGGAUCUCUCUGUAAACACUGACAGUUGUUGUCCUCUGAUAUUAACCGUAGGGAUUGCCCCAUGUUUUUCACUGCACUCUGAUUUGUAAUGAGGUCCAUAUGGUAGAAGGACGGAUUUUGGGGAGGAGUGUUUUGUGGAGUUGACUGUUUUUCUGUACAUAAGACUCCAUUGAUUAGACUAUUGGACAGGUGUGCCUUUCUGUAACCCAGGAUUCAGUUUUUUCAUUGAUCACUGGGGGUAUGUCACGAAGUGGCUAAAUUUCAGAAACAUUAACCCCGUAUUCAACUUAAAUUCUCAUUCAGAAAAGAAGUAUUUGAUUAGUGUUAACUAGCUAACUGAUUGAUCCUGUUUGGUGAAACGCGACCCUGUGGUAGUGUUCCAUGUCUUUUUUUUAUUCCAUGUUGUCUUUUUUGUUGUUGCAGUCGUGAGAUCUGAUGGUCUGUGCAGCGCGACAGGCCGUGAGGCCGAUACGUAAGCUUAUUAAAGAUCAGUGAUACUAUCAAGAGCAGUGUGCGGUUUCCUUUUUCCCUCAUCUUGUCUAAUUGUUACCAUACACCUGCAAAAAAAGUGCUCAGAUGUGCGAGUGCCUUUUGAGUUACUGUGUAGCGUGUCUGAAAUCAAUAGGACCUGGAACAUGCCCAUUAUAACAGCACUACAGCCAAACUGUCAUUAAAUCUGAAAUAAAGACAAUUGUUGUCGUCGUCUCCUGA
Molecule: RNA transcript, 2078 nt
Organism: Oncorhynchus kisutch (coho salmon)
Lineage: Eukaryota; Metazoa; Chordata; Actinopteri; Salmoniformes; Salmonidae
Gene name: protein kish-A
Exons: 4
Source: RefSeq, a predicted model, not a curated record